RNAcentral lists this ribosomal RNA (2904 nucleotides) under Enterobacter sp. BIDMC 26. RNAcentral describes it as "bacterial LSU rRNA". It matches the Rfam family "Bacterial large subunit ribosomal RNA". The record is from RNAcentral. Lineage: Bacteria; Pseudomonadati; Pseudomonadota; Gammaproteobacteria; Enterobacterales; Enterobacteriaceae.
UUAAGCGACUAAGCGUACACGGUGGAUGCCCUGGCAGUCAGAGGCGAUGAAGGACGUGCUAAUCUGCGAAAAGCGCCGGCGAGGUGAUAUGAACCUUUGACCCGGCGAUGUCCGAAUGGGGAAACCCAGUGUGUUCCGACACACUAUCGUUAACUGAAUACAUAGGUUAACGAGGCGAACCGGGGGAACUGAAACAUCUAAGUACCCCGAGGAAAAGAAAUCAACCGAGAUUCCCCCAGUAGCGGCGAGCGAACGGGGAGCAGCCCAGAGUCUGAAUCAGCUUGUGUGUUAGUGGAAGCGUCUGGAAAGUCGCACGGUACAGGGUGAAAGUCCCGUACACGAAAGCACACAGGUUGUGAACUCGAAGAGUAGGGCGGGACACGUGGUAUCCUGUCUGAAUAUGGGGGGACCAUCCUCCAAGGCUAAAUACUCCUGACUGACCGAUAGUGAACCAGUACCGUGAGGGAAAGGCGAAAAGAACCCCGGCGAGGGGAGUGAAAAAGAACCUGAAACCGUGUACGUACAAGCAGUGGGAGCCUCUUUUAUGGGGUGACUGCGUACCUUUUGUAUAAUGGGUCAGCGACUUAUAUUCUGUAGCAAGGUUAACCGUAUAGGGGAGCCGAAGGGAAACCGAGUCUUAACUGGGCGUUAAGUUGCAGGGUAUAGACCCGAAACCCGGUGAUCUAGCCAUGGGCAGGUUGAAGGUUGGGUAACACUAACUGGAGGACCGAACCGACUAAUGUUGAAAAAUUAGCGGAUGACUUGUGGCUGGGGGUGAAAGGCCAAUCAAACCGGGAGAUAGCUGGUUCUCCCCGAAAGCUAUUUAGGUAGCGCCUCGUGAACUCAUCUUCGGGGGUAGAGCACUGUUUCGGCUAGGGGGCCAUCCCGGCUUACCAACCCGAUGCAAACUACGAAUACCGAAGAAUGUUAUCACGGGAGACACACGGCGGGUGCUAACGUCCGUCGUGAAGAGGGAAACAACCCAGACCGCCAGCUAAGGUCCCAAAGUCAUGGUUAAGUGGGAAACGAUGUGGGAAGGCACAGACAGCCAGGAUGUUGGCUUAGAAGCAGCCAUCAUUUAAAGAAAGCGUAAUAGCUCACUGGUCGAGUCGGCCUGCGCGGAAGAUGUAACGGGGCUAAACCAUGCACCGAAGCUGCGGCAGCGACACUAUGUGUUGUUGGGUAGGGGAGCGUUCUGUAAGCCGUUGAAGGUGUCCUGUGAGGGAUGCUGGAGGUAUCAGAAGUGCGAAUGCUGACAUAAGUAACGAUAAAGCGGGUGAAAAGCCCGCUCGCCGGAAGACCAAGGGUUCCUGUCCAACGUUAAUCGGGGCAGGGUGAGUCGACCCCUAAGGCGAGGCCGAAAGGCGUAGUCGAUGGGAAACAGGUUAAUAUUCCUGUACUUGGUGUUACUGCGAAGGGGGGACGGAGAAGGCUAUGUUAGCCGGGCGACGGUUGUCCCGGUUUAAGCAUGUAGGCGGAAGUUCCAGGUAAAUCCGGUUCCUUGUUAACGCUGAGGUGUGAUGACGAGGCACUACGGUGCUGAAGUAACAAAUGCCCUGCUUCCAGGAAAAGCCUCUAAGCAUCAGGUAACACGAAAUCGUACCCCAAACCGACACAGGUGGUCAGGUAGAGAAUACCAAGGCGCUUGAGAGAACUCGGGUGAAGGAACUAGGCAAAAUGGUGCCGUAACUUCGGGAGAAGGCACGCUGAUAUGUAGGUGAAGUCCCUGCGGAUGGAGCUGAAAUCAGUCGAAGAUACCAGCUGGCUGCAACUGUUUAUUAAAAACACAGCACUGUGCAAACACGAAAGUGGACGUAUACGGUGUGACGCCUGCCCGGUGCCGGAAGGUUAAUUGAUGGGGUUAGCGGUAACGCGAAGCUCUUGAUCGAAGCCCCGGUAAACGGCGGCCGUAACUAUAACGGUCCUAAGGUAGCGAAAUUCCUUGUCGGGUAAGUUCCGACCUGCACGAAUGGCGUAAUGAUGGCCAGGCUGUCUCCACCCGAGACUCAGUGAAAUUGAACUCGCUGUGAAGAUGCAGUGUACCCGCGGCAAGACGGAAAGACCCCGUGAACCUUUACUAUAGCUUGACACUGAACACUGGUCCUUGAUGUGUAGGAUAGGUGGGAGGCUUUGAAGCGUGGACGCCAGUCUGCGUGGAGCCAACCUUGAAAUACCACCCUUUAAUGGCUGGUGUUCUAACGUAGACCCGUGAUCCGGGUUGCGGACAGUGUCUGGUGGGUAGUUUGACUGGGGCGGUCUCCUCCCAAAGAGUAACGGAGGAGCACGAAGGUUAGCUAAUCCUGGUCGGACAUCAGGAGGUUAGUGCAAUGGCAUAAGCUAGCUUGACUGCGAGAGUGACGGCUCGAGCAGGUGCGAAAGCAGGUCAUAGUGAUCCGGUGGUUCUGAAUGGAAGGGCCAUCGCUCAACGGAUAAAAGGUACUCCGGGGAUAACAGGCUGAUACCGCCCAAGAGUUCAUAUCGACGGCGGUGUUUGGCACCUCGAUGUCGGCUCAUCACAUCCUGGGGCUGAAGUAGGUCCCAAGGGUAUGGCUGUUCGCCAUUUAAAGUGGUACGCGAGCUGGGUUUAGAACGUCGUGAGACAGUUCGGUCCCUAUCUGCCGUGGGCGCUGGAGAAUUGAGGGGGGCUGCUCCUAGUACGAGAGGACCGGAGUGGACGCAUCACUGGUGUUCGGGUUGUCAUGCCAAUGGCACUGCCCGGUAGCUAAAUGCGGAAGAGAUAAGUGCUGAAAGCAUCUAAGCACGAAACUUGCCCCGAGAUGAGUUCUCCCUGAGACUUUAAGUCUCCUGAAGGAACGUUGAAGACUACGACGUUGAUAGGUCGGGUGUGUAAGCGCAGCGAUGCGUUGAGCUAACCGAUACUAAUGAACCGUGAGGCUUAACCUU